Molecule: unclassified non-coding RNA, 423 nt
Filed under: uncultured Basidiomycota
Lineage: Eukaryota; Fungi; Basidiomycota
Description: sequence contains ITS2
Rfam family: 5.8S ribosomal RNA (bases 1-154)
Source: RNAcentral
AACUUUCAGCAAUGGAUCACUUGGCUCUCGCAUCGAUGAAGAACGCGGCGAAAUGCGAUAAGUAAUGUGAAUUGCAGAUUUCAGUGAAUCAUCGAAUCUUUGAACGCACCUUGCGCUCCUCGGCCUUCCGAGGAGCAUGCCUGUUUGAGUGCCCAGAAAUUCACUCGACGUAACGACUUGUUUGUUGCGUCGGAGCGUGGGGGUCUUUGCCUUGCCGUCACCGGCAAGGCUCCCUUCAAAUGCGUUAGCUGGCCCUUUGUAGGUCCGCCCACUGGCUUGAUAUUAAAACGUCGAUGCCGCCGGGUGACUCUGCUUUUAAAGGUCGCUUACAGCCGUCCUCUUUCUGGACAACAUCUUCUGAGCUCGGGCCUCAAAUCAGGUAGGAUUACCCGCUGAACUUAAGCAUAUCAAUAAGCGGAGGCU